Long non-coding RNA from Neofelis nebulosa (Clouded leopard), 6848 nucleotides. RefSeq lists it as uncharacterized. The record is from RefSeq and is a predicted model, not a curated record. The transcript is spliced from 4 exons. Lineage: Eukaryota; Metazoa; Chordata; Mammalia; Carnivora; Felidae.
AUGAAAUGAAGAAUAAAAUUACCCAGUAUAUUGAGUUGUAUACAUGUAGAUGUAUUCCCACCCUAAAAUACAAGAUCUAGGAUGACAGGGAUCUUGCAUAUUUUGUUUCACCCUGUGUCCCUGUCCCUUUAAUAACCUCUCAAUAUUUGAUUACUAAAAAAUUACCGGAUUCGAAAGUAUUAAGAUGGAAAAUUGCAGACUGCAAUGGAAACACUUAACCUUAGCCUAGUUAGGGAUAUCAGAGAGGGUUUCUCUGAGGAAGUGACAUUUAAGAUGAGACUUGAAACCACUAGGCAAAGAAGUGGGGAAAAAGUGAUACAGGCAGAUGAAACAACAUAUACAAAGGGUCUGAAGCUGAGAUGUUCUAAAAAUCUCUGAAAGGUAGUAUAUAUAGCUGUCUUGAGAAUUGAGGGGGAGAGAACUGAGGACUACAGGUCCUUAGGACAGAGCAGAGAAUGGGAAGCCCAGGAAGGAUUUUAAGUGGGUUGUAUCCUGCUUUUUUUUCACUUCAUGCGGCCUUUUCCCAUAUUGCUAUGUGGUUUUCCUUCUACAUGGCAAACAUUUUUCUGCAGAAUACUUUUGAGAGUGUAACACUUCUGCAUAAUACCUUUGGGAGCACAGCAUAAUUACAUUGUUGGACCAUGAUUUUCACUCCUAUAAGAAUCAUUAUAAAUUUUACUUCUAGAUAUGUAGCCAGGAAAAAUGAGAACAUGCCCAAGCAAAAACUUGUUCAUGGGGAGCACCUGGCAGGCUCAGUCAAUAGGGCAUGCAACCCUUGAUCUCAGGGUUGUGAGUUCAAGCCCCACGUUGGAUGUAGAGAUUACUAUAAAAAUAAAAUUUUUAAUUAAAAAAACACCUGUCCAUGAAUAUUCAUAACAGUAUUAUUCAUAAUAGCCAAAAAAGUGAGAUAUCACAAGUGUCCACCAACUGAUAAAUGUAUAGAUUAAAUGUGGUACAUCUAAACAAUGGGAUAUUUGGCCAUAAAAAAGGAGGUACUGAUAUAUGAUGUAACAUGGAUGAUCCUUGAAAACAUAUGUUGUCUUUUGUGCCUGGUUUCUUUCACUUAGUGUAAUGACUCCAUUUAUAUGAAAUGUCCAGAAUAGGAAAAUCUAUAGAGGCAUAAAGGAUUAGUGUUGCUUACCACUGGUUGCAAAGAUGGAAUUGGGAGACGAUAGCCAAAGGAUGUUGGGUUUCCUUUUGAGGAAAAUGUUCUAAAAAUUGAUUGUGAUGAUGGUUGCACAACUCCGAAUAUACUUAAAACUAUUGAAUUGUACAUUUAAUUGAAUGGAAUGAAAUGUGAAUUAUAUAUCAAUAAUGCAGUUGUCAAAAAAAAUGAAAGAAACAAAAAGAAUCCAAUUAACAUCUUCAUUUGUGACCUUUUUUGGGUUAUUACUGGGUCCAAUAGUACUUACAGCUUCAUGGCUUUUGAUGAAUACCAAUUUGCCAGGCCAUUUGGCAGAGGGGUUAAACCAAUUAAAAUGUAACUGGGAACAUUUAAGAGCUUCUACUUCAUUAUGUACUUAACCCUUUUGAACUUUAUGUUUAUUAAAACUGUCUUACUGUCUGUCAGAGUGCCAGUGACAAUUUAAUCUACAAUACUAUAAACGGAAUUUCAAGUAAUUAAUAGGUGGUAAGAACAAGUUUCGGUUGUCCCAACAAAAACUAUCAACUUUCUUCUACCCUGUUCACCCAUAAGACCUUGCAAUCAACAUCUCUAUUUUCUUAAUAAUUGUGAAAUUGCUUUUACAGUGAGUAUAGUUGUAAAAAAGGAAAGCCUUUGAAGUUCCCUUAGAAAAGAAAUAAGGCAUAUGAAGUAAAUAUAUUAAUAUCUAUGUAUUGGCAAGAAAUUCAUCGUUUUUCAUUUUUUUCAGUCUUUUUAGAAAUGUUUCCCUUUUGUCCUAAUAGCAAAAAUAAAUAUCUUUCCAUAUGGCACUUGAAAAUAAUGAUAACUAAAAUACAUUGGUUACUUACUAUGUACAGGCAGUGCACUCAUGUUGCAUUCUCUCAUUUUUAUUCCCACAGCACUCCUCCUCCUCGAUAGUAGGUAUUUUUUGUUGUCCCCAUUUUACAGAAGAUAAGGAGGUAAAGUAAAUCUGCAGGCGUGAAGAGGCAUAGCCAGGAUUCAGACCUAGGAUGUCUAACCCUGGAGCCUGGUGUGCUUCCAAUUACUACCCUUUCCUGCCUCACCCUGUGGAUAUUUCUGGCCUACAUUAAAUCUUUGAACAAAAAUACUAACCCUCUGGUUAUUUUUGUCUUGCCUUUAAUCUUAGAACACAUAAUUUUUUUUUAAGUUUUUAGUUAGCAGUUUAUAUUUGUAUUUCUAGAGAGUUGAUUUCUGCUUAAAAGGGGGUUAUUAAAUUUUCUUAGACCUGUUUUAGUUCAUGACUGGAAUAUUGAAUCUUGAAAUAAUAAACCUGCCUUGCUCCAAAUGCAGAGUGGUAGAGUAGGGAAACACCUGAGAAACAGUGUUACUGUCAUAAGAAAGGCUCUGUUCGGAAAUGCAAAAUAGUGUAAAGUGAGACAACUGAAGGGAAUCAAGUUGAUGAGCAGAAAAUGGUUUGCCGUCCUUAAUCUUUAAAGAAAAAUAAUUAGAAGUACACUGCUUACAUUUUUAUGAGUAUAGAAGACAGGCUAUUAAAUCUUUAAUGACAGAAAUUUCUGGUCUCCUUUGUCUUAAAUGAAACUUUUAGGAUAAUGUUCCCAGCAGAAGAUUUAUGAAGAUACUGUCUUGAAGGAGAAAUACUGAGGCCUACAGGAACCAAGGAAAUGAUUUAUUUCCACUAUAACCACUUAUCUUUAGCAUCUGCUUACACUUAAGGAUCCUUUUUACAGCUUCCAAAAUAUGUUUUCAUUAAUCACUAUGGUGGCAGAAUGUAAGAGGAAUAAACCUCCCAAAUAGACAUCAAGAGAAAUCAAAUAAUAUAAAGACCUCCUACUUACUAGUAAGUGGGGAGAAAGGGCUCAGACAAAACAAGUCAAAAAUUCAAAAAUAGGAAGCCACAAGCUGCUUUCCAGACUGACCAACUCUGAAGGCAAGCUGGCUUUAGUUUAGGUUUUUCAUAUUCAGGUGCUUAUUUAGAAAGACCUCACCCAAAGGGAUCAUUGGUUGCAUGCUUCAUUAAGAAGGGCCUCAGAAGUCAAACAGCAGUCACCUAUUUUAAAUUUGUAAGUCAAAGAGUCUUCAGUAGAAAUAUUCUUUUGUUGUUCUUGUUGGAACAAAAAUACACCAUUCAAAUGCCACCACUUUACUCUUUCACAAACUGUUUUGAAUCUUGAACGACCAAAUUUAGUAACUUCAGGGAAAAAAAUCUUUUUAAACAUAUCUAAUAUAAUCAAACUACCAAUACAUAUUGUUUCUUGUAAAACAUUUAUGGGGGAUGUAUGGACAGAGAGGUAAAUAUCUUCCAAAGUUUUAGUCUCAUCACAACAUAUGUUUACUGCAACCCUUCUUCUUAUAAGUAAAGGAAAAGAACUAUUUGGAGAAUCAAUUGAAAUUAUCCACAAUCAGGGUUUCCAAAACUUCUUUCUCACAUAGCUAAGCUACUUUUAUUACCAGAUGGUGAUUUAGUAAAUACUGAGUCCCAGUCGCAUAUUGGGCUAGGCACUGUAUGGAAGGUGAGUCAUACAUGGUCCUGUUUGUAAGAAACGUAUUCAUUCAUUCUGUAAUUCAGCAACAUUUACUAGCUGUGUGCCUGUGAGCAAGUUAAUCAGCUUCUCUAUAACUUGACCUCAGUUUCAUCAUCUGUAAAAUGAGGGUAAUAAUAUGUCUCGUGGUUUUUAUGAGGAUUAAACGGGAAAAUAUUUGCAAAAGACUUACUUAGAUCAACGUAUGACACUGGAGACACUAACAGGCUAACUAUUGUAAGAGUCCUUUAUGUGCCAGGCUUGAGUGUGAUUUUUUUUUUUUUUUUACACUUAAUACAGUUAAAGAUGGCCACCCUCAAGCAGCUCUCAGCCAUGCAAGUGAAACAAUCGCAUUAAUGAACAUUAUUCAUAUAACAUGAAAAGUUUUAUAAUAGUUUUAUGCAGAAUGCUAUGGGUAAACAGAGGAGAAAUUCUGUUGAUCAGGGGUGCUUUUAUAAACUUGAAUGUGGCAUUAUUUGCUGUGUAUCAAAUUUAUAUUUACAAAAUAACAGCUGUAUAAAACAAGUAUUUAGGGUCUUACACAGCCUUGGAGGCUCAAGAUCCAGGAGUAUCUUAGCUGGGUAGUUCUAAUUCAGGGUUUCUAAUGAGACUACAGGGAAGUUGUUGGCUGGAGCUGAUGCCAUGAGGGGCCUGGAGAACCUGCUUGCAAGUUCAUCGUGUGGCUGUAGUCAGGAGGCUUCAGUUCCUUGCCACAGGGCCUCUCCAAAGGGCUGUUCAUGUUGGCUCCCUCAUACAAGUGAUGAGAGAGACAGAGGCAAACAGAAACAGAGAAUCAGAAUACCAAGGUGGAAGCUGCAGUCAUUUUAUAACCUAAACUGGGAAAUGAUGUACCGUCACUUCUACCAUAUUCUUCUACUAGUUAGAAGCAACUCACUAAAACCAGGCCAUACUUAAGGAGAAGGGAAUUAAACUUGAAGAGCAUCAAAGAAUUUGUGAACAUAUUUUUAGGACCAUCACAGGUAUGGAAAGAAGAGUAAGGUUUAGCUCAGUAGACAGGAACAAACUUAUGACAGGCAAGGGAAGAACAGAAACAAAAGAAUACAGAAUUAAGGGAGUUAUUGUUAUUCCCAUUUUAAAGAUGAGGAAACAGGCUUAGAAAGGUAAAAUAACUUUCCCAUCAUGUGUUAAACGGUAAGUGGCAGAGCCAGAUUCUGAACCCUAUUUUCAGUUCUAGAAUGCAGAUCUUAUCACUACCUGUAUUAGGCAAGUUUCUUCAGAGAAACAGAAUCAAAAGGAUGCAACUCCAUCUAUAUCUACAUUUAUCUCUAUAUGGAGAGAGAGAAAGGGGAAUUUAUUCCAAGGAAUUAGCAACCAUGAUCAUGGAGGUUUGGUAAGUCCAAAAUCUGCAGAGUAGGCCGGUGGUCUAGAGACCCAGGAGGGAGUUGCAGUUCAAGUCCAAAUGCAGUCUGCUGGCAGAAUUCCUUCUUGUUCAGGAAAGGUCAGUCUUUGUUCUAGUAAGGCCUUCAACUGAUUAGAUGAUGCCCACCCAUGUUAUGGAGGGUAAUCUGCUUUAUUCGAAGUCCAAUUUAAAUGUUAAAUCUCAUCCAAAAAAAACACCUUCACAGAAACAUCCAAGAUAAUUGUUGACCAAAUAUCUGGGGACUACAGCCUAGCCAAGAUGACAGACAAAAUUAACAUCAUAUUACCCUGUACAGUACAGACAAUUUGGGGUUCAGAUUGCAAAAGGGCCCCAAAUACCAUACUCAGCAGAUUGCUGAAUUUACAAAAAUUAACCAGUGGCUCUCUCAUGGCUUUCUGAUGUCUAACCAGACAUGACUUUGAACAUCUGAUAUUGGUGGGGCAUUCCCAUAGAAUAUUGUAAUUCUAUUAGGGAAGGUAUAUUGGAAUAUUUGUCAUGCUUCAUCUUCAGUACUAUUUUGACAAGUGAAAAAUUUGGUUUUAUUGACAUUACACUUUUUCCUUUGAAUGAUUUCCUUUCCAAUCCACAUAGUUUUAGUAAUUAGCCUUUCCCAUAUUUCAAAAUGUUUACUCAUUUCAAAACUAUUUUUCUCUAUUCUCCUCACUUGGACUUUUUUCUCUUAACUUUUUCUUUUGUUUUCGUGCCUUUUUUCAAGGAUUCCUUUUAAGCCAUGCCUCCUACCAGACUGAAAUGCAAAACUAGGAAGAAAGACAAAAAUGUAGGUGGGAACUAAAGGACCCAGUUUGUAUACCAGCUGGACUUGGUGGUUCUAAAAGUAUAAAUAUUGUUCAAGCAUCUUUUCUUUGCAGAGGGUGCAUAAAAGAAAAGCUGUUUCAUCCUUGCUGCUGGAGAUAUUUUUCUUUGUAGCUAACAUCGAGCAGGAAAUUCUUUAUGUUUAUCUCGGAGCUUCAGAACUUGAAGUCAUAAUGGUUUCAGCCUAUUCUUUUGGCCCACUCCAUUCUGGGCCUUCGUCGAGAACAAGACACAUAUAGCGUGGGCAGGAGAGUCUUGUGAGGCCACUGGAAAGUGAUCUGAAUUACAAGUCUGUGGUUACAUCCUGCCAUAGCCAGAGAGAACAGGAAGCAAAGUCUGGACAACCAGCAGAGCCAAAGAUGCAACAAACUAGAAGGGAAACAGAGCUGGACUUGCAAAAUAAAUGAGGGCAGAGACCUGGUGGUAAAGCAUAAAAGAAGGUUCGAGAAGAGUAAACUUUGAUCUGUUUGAUAGACGUUGAAAGAAUUUCAUCUCUGUUCUCUGCCUGGUUGCCUUUGCACAGCUGCGCUGCUGGCUCUCUUCAGAUGUGUACUGACCUUGGCAUGACCUGUGGGGGUCACUGCCUCACAUUUUAUGCUUAGCCAACCAUCGCUGUCCUCAUUGCUGUUGUUGGAUUAGGUCCCUUGCAACUCAGUCAAGCUGAGUAAGCACACAUGUGUAAAAGAUGUUUGUAACAGUGCUACUUGUUGGCUACUUUGAGAGAAAAACCAGAUUCCUGGGUCAGGUCUGGACUACUGAAUCUGAACUUCUGAGAUGAAGUCCUGAAUCUGCAUUUUAACUGCUGCACCCUCAGGUAAAUCAGAAUGUCUCAAGAGGAUCCUUGGGACACAGAAAACAUGUUGUGCCUGAUGAAUGCAACCUGUGUGUGAGCCUGCUUCAGAAACUGUCAUUGGACAACACCAUAGCUCUCUGCUUCCUGGAGAGGUUCCUGCAGGAGUUUUAAAGUUGUUACAUGAUGUGCAACUUUAUUAAUUUUAGUUGCAACUGUGAGCGCAUACACAAUGCGCUA